RNAcentral lists this ribosomal RNA (441 nucleotides) under uncultured bacterium. Its description in RNAcentral is "partial 16S ribosomal RNA". It matches the Rfam family "Bacterial small subunit ribosomal RNA", at positions 338 to 795 of the family's 1533-position model. The record is from RNAcentral.
CCUACGGGAGGCAGCAGUGGGGGAUAUUGCACAAUGGGGGGAACCCUGAUGCAGCGACGCCGCGUGGGUGAAGGAGUGCUUCGGCAUGUAAAGCUCUAUCGGCAGGGAAGAAGCAAGACGGUACCUGACUAAGAAGCCCCGGCUAACUACGUGCCAGCAGCCGCGGUAAUACGUAGGGGGCGAGCGUUAUCCGGAUUUACUGGGUGUAAAGGGAGCGUAGACGGCCAUGCAAGCCUGGGGUGAAAGCCCGGGGCGCAACCCCGGGACUGCCUUUGAAACUGCUAGACUGGAGUGCGGGAGGGGCAAGCGGAAUUCCUGGUGUAGCGGUGAAAUGCGUAGAUAUUAGGAGGAACACCAGCGGCGAAGGCGGCCUACUGGACCGCAACUGACGUUGAGGCUCGAAAGCGUGGGGAGCAAACAGGAUUAGAUACCCCAGUAGUC